Molecule: ribosomal RNA, 372 nt
Filed under: Triticum aestivum (bread wheat)
Lineage: Eukaryota; Viridiplantae; Streptophyta; Magnoliopsida; Poales; Poaceae
Description: partial small subunit ribosomal RNA
Source: RNAcentral
AUGGAGUUAUUCCAGGUGCGCAUGUUGAAGGAAUUCGCGGAGAUACGCGCAGAGCAGAGCAAAUUGGCCAAGAUGGUGGAGAUCUGCGACCGAUUGGAGGCGCUGGAUGCGAAAUUGGAGGAGCAGUCUCAGUGCCUGGAUCAGGUGCAGGUGAAGGUAAACCUCUCCUGCGACACCUUGGGCAAGGUUCAGCAAGAGCAAGUUCAGUCGGCGAAGCACAGCGCUACGGCAGCAGUGUGGGGACCCCGACUCAUAAGUCGAGAUCGCCGAAUGCACGUGUACAGUGAUCCCAGAGAUCAAUGCUCACUGAACACACAGAAGCUGAAUAACAAGAGUCUUACAUCCAUACAUACCGUCUUACACAAAUUAUGA